This 127-nucleotide small RNA is filed under the name Marmota monax (woodchuck). The record is from RNAcentral. Lineage: Eukaryota; Metazoa; Chordata; Mammalia; Rodentia; Sciuridae.
GCUGGGCAUGGUGGCACAUGCCUAUAAUCCCAGAAACUCGGGAGGUUGAGGCAGGAGGAUCUAAAGUUUGUGGCCAGCCUCAGCAACUUAAUGAGGCCACAAGCAACUUAGGGAAACCCUAUCUCAA